Molecule: long non-coding RNA, 684 nt
Filed under: Nicotiana benthamiana
Lineage: Eukaryota; Viridiplantae; Streptophyta; Magnoliopsida; Solanales; Solanaceae
Description: long non-coding RNA (NBEN_LNC035808)
Source: RNAcentral
AACAUUCAAAUCUGGCAAUAUUGAUAAUAAGGUGAAUAAAACCAUAGUAAGAAAUGUCCCAUGCAAUUACAUAAUUCCACCUAACAAAUUGUUUAUAACAGUCCCAAAUCAACCAUCAUAAUAAACUCACUUACUUAAAUUAGAAUUCAGCUAAUCAGUACAAUAUAUCAAGUCCAAACAAGAAGCCAAAAUAAUAGUAAUGGAUCAGCAAAACCAAGUAAUGAUAAGCUUUAAAGUUUGCCUUGCAUUUCAUUCUUUAAAUCAACUUCACAAAUAAUAAAGCUUAAAAAUGGUACCUGCAAAGCAAAACAAAAGGGAGAAGUGAGCUGACCAGCAGUGAACAAUAGCACACAGCCCAUAUCCAACCACUCAGCAAUGAAAAAGUCAACAAAACAAUGAACCAACCAACACAAUCAAUCCAGCUCUUUCUAUACCCAAGCUCAACUCAUUUUAUCACCAGAUUCUUAAUUUUAAGAUAUUUUCCAAAAAUUUAAAACCAGCAUAAUUAUUCAGAGAGUUAAAACCAAGUAACCAACAUCAACUCCAACGACUUUCAGCAAUUGAAAACUAAGAAUCAAAGAAGGAUUUCAAUAGAAUAGUAGCUUUCUAUAAAUAUCUUAGCUGUUUUGAUUUUCAGAUUUUCAGAGUGUUAGAAUGCCCAUUUGAGUGAAGGGAAAGCUUCAU